This 502-nucleotide ribosomal RNA is filed under the name uncultured soil bacterium. Its description in RNAcentral is "bacterial SSU rRNA". It matches the Rfam family "Bacterial small subunit ribosomal RNA", at positions 28 to 562 of the family's 1533-position model. The record is from RNAcentral.
AAUCAACGCUGGCGGCGCGCCUAACACAUGCAAGUCGAACGAGAAAGUGGAGCAAUCCAUGAGUACAGUGGCGUACGGGUGAGUAACACGUGGAUCAUCUACCUUUUAGUGGGGAAUAACCCUGGGAAACCGGGGAUAAUACCGCAUAAGCCCGAGAGGGGAAAGCAGCAAUGCGCUGAAAGAGGAGUCCGCGGCCGAUUAGCUAGUUGGCAGGGUAAAAGCCUACCAAGGCAGAGAUCGGUAGCCGGCCUGAGAGGGCACACGGCCACACUGGCACUGAAACACGGGCCAGACUCCUACGGGAGGCAGCAGUGGGGAAUCUUGCACAAUGGGGGAAACCCUGAUGCAGCGACGCCGCGUGAGCGAUGAAGCCCUUCGGGGUGUAAAGCUCUUUCGGCAGGGAAGAUUAUGACGGUACCUGCAGAAGCAGCUGCGGCUAACUACGUGCCAGCAGCCGCGGUAAUACGUAGGCAGCAAGCGUUGUUCGGAGUUACUGGGCGUA